CCUACGGGGGGCAGCAGUGGGGAAUAUUGCACAAUGGGGGAAACCCUGAUGCAGCGACGCCGCGUGAGCGAAGAAGUAUUUCGGUAUGUAAAGCUCUAUCAGCAGGGAAGAAAAUGACGGUACCUGAGUAAGAAGCUCCGGCUAAAUACGUGCCAGCAGCCGCGGUAAUACGUAUGGAGCAAGCGUUAUCCGGAUUUACUGGGUGUAAAGGGAGCGCAGGCGGCCUUGCAAGCCAGGAGUGAAAGCCCGGGGCCCAACCCCGGGACUGCUCUUGGAACUGCGUGGCUGGAGUGCAGGAGGGGCAGGCGGAAUUCCUGGUGUAGCGGUGAAAUGCGUAGAUAUCAGGAGGAACACCAGUGGCGAAGGCGGCCUGCUGGACUGCAACUGACGUUGAGGCCCGAAAGCGUGGGGAGCAAACAGGAUUAGAUACCCUUGUAGUC
This 440-nucleotide ribosomal RNA is filed under the name uncultured bacterium. Its description in RNAcentral is "partial 16S ribosomal RNA". It matches the Rfam family "Bacterial small subunit ribosomal RNA", at positions 338 to 795 of the family's 1533-position model. The record is from RNAcentral.